GGAAUGCGUCUGAUCACCAAUAAUAGGCUGCUUUCAUUCGUUGGCGUUGAACGUAUUGUUCAGCAAUAAUGUAAUCCAAAACGAAGCACGCAGCGGCCGGCGUCGUUUCGUCGCUGCAGAACUGGUGGUUUUGGAGCACGUACCGGAUGCUGGAGCCGAGGACGCCGGUGCCGCCGCGGGAGGUUGCUCUCGGAGGUUGCGCGCUAGGUGGUCUGGAGAAGCGGGCGGCAACGCGAAGCAAAUGUGGUGCGGCACGGCGCCAAUCUCCAUCGGCAGGAAGACCGCACGCACACCUCCGCCGACGGCGCCUCAGAUAUUCCAAGGAAUUCGAAAUCCGCGACUCAACCACGCGCCGCGAGGGUUCCGU
This 367-nucleotide long non-coding RNA is filed under the name Setaria italica (foxtail millet). RNAcentral's name for it is "long non-coding RNA (SITA_LNC007422)". The record is from RNAcentral. Lineage: Eukaryota; Viridiplantae; Streptophyta; Magnoliopsida; Poales; Poaceae.